AAAUUGAAGAGUUUGAUCAUGGCUCAGAUUGAACGCUGGCGGCAGGCCUAACACAUGCAAGUCGAACGGUAACAGGAAGCAGCUUGCUGUUUCGCUGACGAGUGGCGGACGGGUGAGUAAUGUCUGGGAAACUGCCUGAUGGAGGGGGAUAACUACUGGAAACGGUAGCUAAUACCGCAUAACGUCGCAAGACCAAAGAGGGGGACCUUCGGGCCUCUUGCCAUCGGAUGUGCCCAGAUGGGAUUAGCUAGUAGGUGGGGUAACGGCUCACCUAGGCGACGAUCCCUAGCUGGUCUGAGAGGAUGACCAGCCACACUGGAACUGAGACACGGUC
Molecule: ribosomal RNA, 334 nt
Filed under: Shigella flexneri
Lineage: Bacteria; Pseudomonadati; Pseudomonadota; Gammaproteobacteria; Enterobacterales; Enterobacteriaceae
Description: bacterial SSU rRNA
Rfam family: Bacterial small subunit ribosomal RNA
Source: RNAcentral